GUAACAAGGUUUCCGUAGGUGGAACCUGCGGAAGGAUCCAUUUAUUCGACCAAGCCAACCCGGUGACCAUCGUGCCCGAUCUCGAGGAGGACACUCUUCUCGUCGGGGGGCCGGUCUGGAGACUGCCGUUUCCAGUCCGGGCCUUGGGGACGCACACGUCCCGCCGGGUCCUUCGCAAGAGGGACCCGGUUGGGCGUGCCCCAAGGUGGCGUCCCAAGAACUUGGAAACGAAAACUGAAGGUAAGGCUGACCGGUCGAAAGGCCGGCGGCCGCACAAUAUGAAAGACAACUCUCAACAACGGAUAUCUUGGCUCCCGUAACGAUGAAGAACGCAGCGAAAUGCGAUACGUAGUGUGAAUUGCAGAAUUCCGUGAAUCAUCGAGUCUUUGAACGCAAAUUGCGCCUGCGGCCUCGUGCUCAAGGGCAUGUCUGCCUCAGCGUCUUUAUCACUUCUCUCCCACCCUCUCCCGAGAGGGGUGGGAGGAUCUGGUCGUCUCGAUCCUCGCAUCGUGUCGGCUGAAAUGUAGAAGAGCCCUCCACUCGUCAAGGGUAACCGAAAGGUGGCAGCCUCCGGGCCGACCUCACCGGUGCCCGAGUGCCGAGCGGCUCUCGCGCCGGAGAAACAUUCAACUUUUGACCUGAGUUCAGGCAAGACUACCCGCUGAACUUAAGCAUAUCA
RNAcentral lists this ribosomal RNA (679 nucleotides) under Symbiochloris sp. SAG 2069. Its description in RNAcentral is "eukaryotic LSU rRNA". The stretch from base 288 to 443 matches the Rfam family "5.8S ribosomal RNA". Lineage: Eukaryota; Viridiplantae; Chlorophyta; Trebouxiophyceae; Trebouxiales; Trebouxiaceae. The record is from RNAcentral.